Molecule: ribosomal RNA, 460 nt
Filed under: uncultured bacterium
Lineage: Bacteria
Description: partial 16S ribosomal RNA
Rfam family: Bacterial small subunit ribosomal RNA
Source: RNAcentral
CCUACGGGUGGCAGCAGUGAGGAAUAUUGGUCAAUGGACGCAAGUCUGAACCAGCCAUGCCGCGUGCAGGAAGACGGUUCUAUGAGUUGUAAACUGCUUUUGUACGAGGGUAAACGCAGAUACGCGUAUCUGACUGAAAGGAUCGUACGAAUAAGGAUCGGCUAACUCCGUGCCAGCAGCCGCGGUAAGACGGAGGAUUCAAGCGUUAUCCGGAUUUAUUGGGUUUAAAGGGUGCGUAGGCGGUCGGAUAAGUUAGAGGUGAAAUCCCGAGGCUCAACCUCGGAAUUGCCUCUGAUACUGGUAGGCUAGAGAGUAGUUGCGGUAGGUGGAAUGCAUGGUGUAGCGGUGAAAUGCUUAGAGAUCAUACAGAACACCGAUUGCGAAGGCAGCUUACCAAGCUACUUCUGACGUUGAGGCACGAAAGCGUGGGGAGCAAACAGGAUUAGAUACCCGAGUAGUC